UUAAUCCUAAUAAAAUUAAUUAUUUCUUAAAAAAUCAAAAUUUUUCGUGCCUUACACCAAAGAUUAA
Molecule: transfer RNA, 67 nt
Filed under: Haemaphysalis flava
Lineage: Eukaryota; Metazoa; Arthropoda; Arachnida; Ixodida; Ixodidae
Description: tRNA-Gln
Source: RNAcentral